This 645-nucleotide long non-coding RNA is filed under the name Oryctolagus cuniculus (rabbit). RNAcentral's name for it is "lncRNA (ENSOCUG00000032905.1)". Lineage: Eukaryota; Metazoa; Chordata; Mammalia; Lagomorpha; Leporidae. The record is from RNAcentral.
AUGGCCCAAGUGUUUGAGACCCUAAACCCAUAGAAGAGAACUGGAUGAAAUUCCAGGCUCCUGGCUUUAGCCUGCCCCAGCCUUGGUAAUUGUAGCCAUUUGGGAAGUGAACUAGUGGAUGGGAGACUCUUUCUCUCUCUCUCUCUAACUUGCCUUUCAAUAGAUAUUAUUUAAAACAUUAAUCUUUGUUUCUAUUCUUGAUUUGUUUCUGUUUUUCAGAACUGAAAAUCAUAAAGACUAUCCUUUCCGUGCAGAGUACUGAGGACAGCUUCCUUCUUCCUCACUUCCAGACCAAUGGAUGCCAACGAUCGCAUCAUCAAAAAAGGGAUUAUGCUGCAGUUUACAAGAGUGGGGAUAAGUGAUCACUGUUCACCAAGUGUAUUUCAGCAUGCAGACAAUUAGGAAACAAAUGACAUAAGGAUACCAUUUGAGUUAGUAGGUUUAUCAUAGUUCUCUGCCCUUAGGAAACAUAGGGGUGAUUUUAAUGUAUUUCUUAUGAAAUGGACUUACAUAAAAGAACUUCAAAAAUUGUGUAUGGAGAUAUGUCAUUUAUUAUUCCUCUCUACAUGGCGAUUUGCUCUUGUGGGGCUCCAGAUUGUUCAACUGAAGAAUAAAUAUGUAUUAAUAUUGAUUGAGUAUAAUGUA